CUCAGCCCAGGCUGGAGCAGCAGCAGCUGGGGCUCUGCAGCAGAUGAGCUCGCGGAGGAGACGGAGAGCAGGUCCCUGAAACACCUAGAGCUCCAGCUGCAUCGGGCCCUCGUUGUGCUGAGGGAUAUACAGAUGCAUAGUUCCUGCCCUGAAGAGCGUGCAAUCAAGCAGACACAUCAGCAAGAAGGACUGUUACAAUUUGACAGAUGAGGGAAGUGAAACCAAAGCAAAGUGAUUUUUUCCAAGCUCACAAAGCAAAUCCAUGUCAAAGUUGGGGAUCAAACAUAGGUCCAAUUCAGGCCCUGAAACAUAAGACCGUCCCUUGAUAUGUUAUAUCAAUAUUAAAGCUUGAUGGUCCUUUCGCACCCAC
Molecule: long non-coding RNA, 370 nt
Organism: Gopherus evgoodei (Goodes thornscrub tortoise)
Lineage: Eukaryota; Metazoa; Chordata; Testudines; Testudinidae
Exons: 2
Source: RefSeq, a predicted model, not a curated record